Balaenoptera musculus (blue whale) is the source of this 72-nucleotide non-coding RNA. Lineage: Eukaryota; Metazoa; Chordata; Mammalia; Artiodactyla; Balaenopteridae. The record is from the annotation of a RefSeq genome assembly.
UCCCUGGCUGUCCAGUGGUUAGGACUUGGCACUCACACUGCCAAGGCCUGGGUUCAAUCCCUGGUCAGGGAA